ACUCAAAUGAAUUGACGGGGACCCGCACAAGCAGCGGAGCAUGUGGUUUAAUUCGAAGCAACGCGAAGAACCUUACCAGGACUUGACAUUGCGCGACAGGUGUGGAAACACAUCCUCCUUCGGGCGCGCGGACAGGUGGUGCAUGGUUGUCGUCAGCUCGUGUCGUGAGAUGUUCGGUUAAGUCCGGCAACGAGCGCAACCCUUGUCGUAUGUUACCAAUAUUAAGUUAGGAACUCAUACGAGACUGCCAUGGAUAACAUGGAGGAAGGCGGGGAUGACGUCAAAUCAUCAUGCCCCUUACGUUCUGGGCUACACACGUGCUACAAUGGACGCUACAAAGAGCCGCCAGCUAGUAAUAGUGAGCAAAUCUCAUAAAAGCGUUCUCAGUUCGGAUUGAGGGCUGCAACCCGCCCUCAUGAAGUCGGAGUUGCUAGUAAUCCCGGAUCAGAAUGCCGGGGUGAAUGCGUUCCCGGGUCUUGUACACACCGCCCGU
RNAcentral lists this ribosomal RNA (493 nucleotides) under uncultured bacterium. Its description in RNAcentral is "bacterial SSU rRNA". It matches the Rfam family "Bacterial small subunit ribosomal RNA", at positions 899 to 1397 of the family's 1533-position model. The record is from RNAcentral.